Molecule: ribosomal RNA, 429 nt
Filed under: Acidobacteriota bacterium
Lineage: Bacteria; Pseudomonadati; Acidobacteriota
Description: Acidobacteria bacterium partial 16S ribosomal RNA
Rfam family: Bacterial small subunit ribosomal RNA
Source: RNAcentral
UGGGGAAUUUUGGACAAUGGGGGAAACCCUGAUCCAGCCAUCCCGCGUGUGCGAUGAAGGCCUUCGGGUUGUAAAGCACUUUUGGCAGGAAAGAAACGUCAUGGGUUAAUACCCCGUGAAACUGACGGUACCUGCAGAAUAAGCACCGGCUAACUACGUGCCAGCAGCCGCGGUAAUACGUAGGGUGCAAGCGUUAAUCGGAAUUACUGGGCGUAAAGCGUGCGCAGGCGGUUCGGAAAGAAAGAUGUGAAAUCCCAGAGCUCAACUUUGGAACUGCAUUUUUAACUACCGGGCUAGAGUGUGUCAGAGGGAGGUGGGAUUCCGCGUGUAGCAGUGAAAUGCGUAGAUAUGCGGAGGAACACCGAUGGCGAAGGCAGCCUCCUGGGAUAACACUGACGCUCAUGCACGAAAGCGUGGGGAGCAAACAGG